CAGACGGGAGGCAGCAGGGAGGAAGAGGGGGCAAGGGACGAGAGUCUGAACCAGCCAAGGAGCGUGAAGGAGGAAUGCCCGAGGGGUUGUAAACUUCUUUUAUAUGGGAAUAAAAUGUUCCACGUGUGGGAUUUUGUAUGUACCAUAUGAAUAAGGAUCGGCUAACUCCGUGCCAGCAGCCGCGGUAAUACGGAGGAUCCGAGCGUUAUCCGGAUUUAUUGGGUUUAAAGGGAGCGUAGGUGGAUUGUUAAGUCAGUUGUGAAAGUUUGCGGCUCAACCGUAAAAUUGCAGUUGAAACUGGCAGUCUUGAGUACAGUAGAGGUGGGCGGAAUUCGUGGUGUAGCGGUGAAAUGCUUAGAUAUCACGAAGAACUCCGAUUGCGAAGGCAGCUCACUGGACUGCAACUGACACUGAGGCUCGAAAGUGUGGGUAUCAAACAGGAUUAGAUACCCUUGUAGUC
This 460-nucleotide ribosomal RNA is filed under the name uncultured bacterium. RNAcentral's name for it is "partial 16S ribosomal RNA". It matches the Rfam family "Bacterial small subunit ribosomal RNA", at positions 338 to 795 of the family's 1533-position model. The record is from RNAcentral.